RNAcentral lists this ribosomal RNA (497 nucleotides) under uncultured bacterium. Its description in RNAcentral is "partial 16S ribosomal RNA". It matches the Rfam family "Bacterial small subunit ribosomal RNA", at positions 28 to 507 of the family's 1533-position model. The record is from RNAcentral.
GAUGAACGCUGGCGGCGUGCCUAAUACAUGCAAGUCGAGCGAACAGACGAGGAGUUUGCCUCUCUGACGUUAGCGGCGGACGGGUGAGUAAAACGUGGAUAACCUACCUAUAAGACUGGGAUAACUUAGGGAAACCGGAGCUAAUACCGGAUAAUAUAUUGAACCGCAUGGUUCAAUAGUGAAAAACGGUUUUGCUGUCACUUAUAGAUGGUUCCGAGCCGCAUUAGCUAGUUGGUAAGGUAACGGCUUACCAAGGCAACGAUGCGUAGACGACCUGAGAGGGUGAUCAGCCACACUGGAACUGAGACACGGUCCAGACUCCUACGGGAGGCAGCAGUAGGGAAUCUUCCGCAAUGGGCGAAAGCCUGACGGAGCAACGCCGCGUGAGUGAUGAAGGUCUUCGGAUCGUAAAACUCUGUUAUUAGGGAGGAACAAAUGUGAAAGUAACUAUGCACGUCUUGACGGUACCUAAACAAAAAGCCACGGCUAACUACGUG